This 333-nucleotide long non-coding RNA is filed under the name Brassica napus (rape). RNAcentral's name for it is "long non-coding RNA (BNAP_LNC006580)". The record is from RNAcentral. Lineage: Eukaryota; Viridiplantae; Streptophyta; Magnoliopsida; Brassicales; Brassicaceae.
UAAAUACUUAUAAAGUGCUCACAUCAAGGUGCACAUGUAUGUGUAUAUAAAAGUAUAUAAAAAUAAAUGACAAAUAUAUAAAGAUAUUGUUAAUUAAUAUUAAUAACAUUUUUAUUCUAAAUAAUACAUGACAGAUAAAAUUAAAACUAAUUAAAAAGGCCUUGACAUUAGUGAAUUUUUUUCAUAUAAAAAAAUCAACUGUAUCCGUAAAUAGAGGUGAGCACAGAUCGAAUAUCCGAGUAUUUGGAGGCAUUCAUGUCGAUUCAAUCUUUAGUCACUUGGAUAGUCGGUGACUAUGAUAUCCAAAAUGAUUUAGAAUUUUAAAAAAUAUCC